UACGUAGGGGGCGAGCGUUGUCCGGAAUUAUUGGGCGUAAAGAGCUCGUAGGCGGCUUGGCAAGUCGGAUGUGAAAACUCCAGGCUCAACCUGGAGCCGCCAUUCGAUACUGCCAUGGCUAGAGUCCGGUAGGGGAGUGUGGAAUUCCCGGUGUAGCGGUGAAAUGCGCAGAUAUCGGGAGGAACACCGAUGGCGAAGGCAGCACUCUGGGCCGGCACUGACGCUGAGGAGCGAAAGCGUGGGGAGCGAACAGG
This 254-nucleotide ribosomal RNA is filed under the name uncultured bacterium. RNAcentral's name for it is "partial 16S ribosomal RNA". It matches the Rfam family "Bacterial small subunit ribosomal RNA", at positions 524 to 776 of the family's 1533-position model. The record is from RNAcentral.